Molecule: ribosomal RNA, 97 nt
Filed under: Klebsiella pneumoniae
Lineage: Bacteria; Pseudomonadati; Pseudomonadota; Gammaproteobacteria; Enterobacterales; Enterobacteriaceae
Also listed under: 2 other names
Description: partial 16S ribosomal RNA
Rfam family: Bacterial small subunit ribosomal RNA
Source: RNAcentral
UUAAAUUGAAGAGUUUGAUCAUGGCUCAGAUUGAACGCUGGCGGCAGGCCUAACACAUGCAAGUCGAGCGGUAGCACAGAGAGCUUGCUCUCGGGUG